GUCCACGCCGUAAACGAUUGAUGCCAGCCGUUGGCAAGCAUGCUUGUCAGUGGCGCAGCUAACGCAUUAAGCAUCCCGCCUGGGGAGUACGGCCGCAAGGUUGAAACUCAAAGGAAUUGACGGGGGGCCCGCACAAGCGGUGGAGCAUGUGGUUUAAUUCGACGCAACGCGCAGAACCUUACCAGGGUUUGACAUCCUGUGCUCGGCUCAGAAAUGGGCUUUCCCCGCAAGGGGGCGCAGAGACAGGUGCUGCAUGGCUGUCGU
This 264-nucleotide ribosomal RNA is filed under the name uncultured bacterium. RNAcentral's name for it is "partial 16S ribosomal RNA". It matches the Rfam family "Bacterial small subunit ribosomal RNA", at positions 793 to 1055 of the family's 1533-position model. The record is from RNAcentral.